GUAGGGAAUAUUGGACAAUGGGGGCAACCCUGAUCCAGCGACGCCGCGUGAGUGAUGAAGGCCUUCGGGUCGUAAAGCUCUGUUGCAGGGGAAGAACACAAUGACGGUACCCUGCUAGAAAGGAUCGGCUAACUUCGUGCCAGCAGCCGCGGUAAGACGAGGGAUCCUAGCGUUGUUCGGAAUUAUUGGGCGUAAAGCGGGUGCAGGUGGCUUGGUAAGUCAGAUGUGAAAGCCUGGGGCUUAACCCCAGAAGUGCAUUUGAUACUGCUGAGCUUGAGUGCUGGAGAGGCUAUUAGAAUUCCUGGUGUAGUGGUGAAAUACGUAGAUAUCAGGAGGAAUACCGGAGGCGAAGGCGGAUAGCUGGCCAGACACUGACACUCAGACCCGAAAGCGUGGGGAGUAAACAGGAUUAGAAACCCUUGUAGUCC
This 428-nucleotide ribosomal RNA is filed under the name uncultured bacterium. RNAcentral's name for it is "partial 16S ribosomal RNA". It matches the Rfam family "Bacterial small subunit ribosomal RNA", at positions 354 to 796 of the family's 1533-position model. The record is from RNAcentral.